RNAcentral lists this ribosomal RNA (434 nucleotides) under bacterium. RNAcentral describes it as "partial 23S ribosomal RNA". It matches the Rfam family "Bacterial large subunit ribosomal RNA", at positions 1 to 427 of the family's 2925-position model. The record is from RNAcentral.
GUUCAAGAUACUAAGGGCACAUGGUGAAUGCCUUGGUGCUGGAAGUCGAUGAAGGACGUGGUCAGCUGCGAUAAGCUUCGGGUAGGUGCGACAACCUUUGAUCCGGAGAUUUCCGAAUGGGGAAACCCGGCUGGAGUCAUAUCCAGUCAUCUCAUACCCAAGUUGCUUGCAUAUUAAGUAUGAGAGGAGAAGUCGGCGAACUGAAACAUCUAAGUAGCCGGACAAGAGAAAGAAAAUUCGAUUCCCUGAGUAGUGGCGAGCGAAACGGGAACAGCCCAAACCGUCGGUCCUCGGAUCGGCGGGGUUGUAGGAUCUGGUAUAAAGACCUAGUAGGGAUAAUAGAAUCAUCUGGAAAGAUGAGCCAUAGAAGGUGACAGCCCUGUAUGUGAAAUCCUGAAAGGUCCGACCGGACACCUGAGUAGCACGGGACACGU